Molecule: long non-coding RNA, 6028 nt
Organism: Chinchilla lanigera (long-tailed chinchilla)
Lineage: Eukaryota; Metazoa; Chordata; Mammalia; Rodentia; Chinchillidae
Exons: 5
Source: RefSeq, a predicted model, not a curated record
GAGGAGGGGGAAGGCUGACUGAGUGGUGCUAAUUUAGAUAGGAGUACACGGCUCUGGGGGGCUGUGGCACAGAAGGGUAAGAAUCAUCUGUACUUUCUUGUGGGCCAGAGAUUGGUUUCCUGCAACUCUGAAAACUACUAAAGAAGAUCUUGCUCUUCCAAACUGUUGCUGUUGUUUGUUUCAAUCUAGAAACACCUCCUGAGUACUGGAGUAAAUUUUAAAAAAUGAAUCCACCCUUGGUUACACAGUGAUAUGUUUAUAGAGGAUGAAGGGUUUUUCCCUCACAUCAUCCAAACAUUUUCUUAGCUGCCAGCACUUUGCUGAACGGCUCUUCCCAGCCCUGCAAGGAGGAACUCUGUGAAGCUUCGCUUCUCAGGAGCUAUGAUUAUUACAUGUUCCUCUUGGAAGGAAAGAAUUAAUUGCAAUUUUGAAGACGUAAAUGUCGCCACAGUGAAGUUUUCCAACAUGAGGCCAAACGUAGAUCUCUUUAAAAAAAGAACAAAGAAAACAACAACAAGAAGGGCCCAGGGAUGAUCCACUCACUGGCGUACACUGAGAGAAGAAAACUGCAGGAAGUGAGCAGGGCUGUCCAGUUUUGCCACGACGACGCAGAAAUUAUUCCUCCGCGCGCCACGCAGGCGCUAGGCUCUCUCAGCUAGAGCUGCCAGGUCAACGGUCAUGUUUAUUCAGACUGCUGAAGGAAUGCAAAUGAGAUGCAUGCUGCAGAGGAACACGGGGAAGUUUACCUAGUUUAAUCGAGUUUAUAGUUUCUCCUGUCUCCGCUUGGAAUACACUUAAAGGGAGUCUCACGCAAUCUUAUGGGUUAAUCCCUGUUCACACCGGGCUUGACUCAUAUCAGACCUGGCGUACUGAGGCACCCGAGGCUCCCCUGACAAGGGGCUCUAAAGAGAUGGACUGCCACCGAUCUCCUCGAAAUGAGCCAGUUGCACUUGGCCGAUAAAACCAGAGAUUUACUGGAGCAGACAGGCCUCAGUUUAAACAGGCUUGUCUCUCUAUUGAAACCCCUUCUGUCACUUGAAUCCGUCAUCUCCCUGUCAGGCAUCAUCAGCUAAAACAAUGGAGUGGCGUCUGAGUUUAGCUGAAAGGGGCCUCAUGUCAGAUAAUGGGUAGGAAUGUGUUAUCCUGAUCAGCAGUGCUGGGUCCACCUGUGCGGUUCUCUACCUGUUCUGAUGGGGGUGGUGCUAGCUCAGGUGCAGCGUAAAGGUGUAAAAACUUUACAGCCAAGGUAAUGAUAAUGAGUUAGAAAGGAAAAGAUGAUUUCGGUGCUGAUUCAAUAGGAGAAGUGCUAGGUAAUAGUUAAAACAGUAAUUUUCUUUUUCUGGGAUUUCCACGUUCAUUUUUCUUUAAUAUAUCUGUCUUACCCAAUGCCUAAGCUCCACUGGUAGACAGAAAUAUCCUCCCAAGGAAGAAAAUGUAAGCUGGAUGCAUUAAAGUUUAUUGGUUAUAGUUUCUUCUUAAGGGAGCAGUGGUAAAUGAGGCGACUGAAUUACAGAGUGUUUUUGUGCAUGGCCCGACCCCUGGAGAAAAAGUCUGUAUAGGUUGGAGCAGCCCCAAACUAGGAAGCAGAUAUUCUGAAUACAGUAGGGGAUUCAAAUAAGAUACCUAACAGAUAAGAACCAAGUUCUUCACAUCUCUAGCAUCCCUGGAGCCCUGCAGUCAGCCUUGUAUGUAGUAGGCCCUCAGUAUAUAUUUUGCUGAAGGAAUAAAUAUAUAUACAUUCCUUUUUGACAUUAAUUUAAUUUGCCUUGGUGGUGUUCUCUGGACACAAAGUAGGUGUAUUUCAAACCUGCCUUAGAAUGAUAUAUACUUAACUUUUCAGUAAUUUAUUAUUGUAUUUUCCUGUUAGAGAAGAAGGUUGCAGCUUUGUAAAAAUGGAGUGCAUUCAUAUUGAAGCUAAGGGAAUGUCACGGCAUCAAUCAAUUCCUGCAGUAAGGGCCUCUCCUGCAUGUGUGGGAGUUGCUCUGGCAGUAAAUGUUCCUUCUGAGGUGUCCCCUGGCACCUGCAUUACUCUCUCUUCCAUUUCCCCGUAUUUGAUAAGUUGGUUUAUUUCUGAGUGUAUCUGAGUGGGUUCCCUGGUUCUCUCACAUACACUGUUGAGUGGGAGGUGUGGAUCAGUAUACAGAAGGGGCUCCAAACUGCUGCAAAGUCAAGAGGUAUUCUUGAUAAGCUGGCCAACUGUCCUGUUUUGCCCAGUUUGUCCUGCUUUUAGCACCGAGAAACGUCUUGUUCUGAGGCAAAUAGAGACAGCUGAUUGAUCAUCUUAAUCUUGAAACUUGAGAGGUCAGGUUUUUGACCCUUAUGUUGUGGGUUUCAGGUAGAUACUGAAUUUCUAAAAGUUAUAUGAGUUUGAAGAUUCAGGAAAAUUCAAGGCUUUUAUAAGUUUGUGAAAAAUGUUUAAAACAAUAUUCGUAUAGUUUAAAAGUCACUCAUCUGAUGCACUCUCUCUCUCUAGGUGUGUGUAUAUUUAUUACACAUUUUUGGUACAUAAAUUAAUGGGACUCGGUGUGAUAUUUCCAUACAUAUAUACAGCAUGCAUUGAUCAUAUCCAGCCACCCAUCUCCCAUCUUCCCCUGACCUCCAGCUCAGCACUCUUCCCAGUUCCUAGUGAUCACUAUUCUACCAGCAGUUUGACUUUUUUGGUUAAGUGUCUGCAUAGGGUACAUAUCUUUCUGUAUCUGGUUUAUUUUACUUAACAUGAUGUCCUCCAGUCCUAUCCAUUUUGGUGCAAGGGAUGGUCUUUAGUUUUCUUUUAUGUCUAAAUCAUGCAUCACUGCACACCUGUUAAUGGAUACCCAGACGAUUCUGUAUCUUAGCUUUUACAGUACCACAACAAGCAUGGGCUCUAGAUAUAUAACCAGGAGUGGGGUAUCGAGUCACAUUUUCCAUCCCAUUCUCCACAGUGGCUGCUAAGAUUCACAGCCCACAUCUAUAGUCAGCUUGCAAGUGUAUCCCCUCUUUAGGAGCUAUAGCUUGAUUAGCAGAAUGUGGAUGGUAGUUCUCUUUUGUGAGAGGAUGGGGCAGUUCUGUGGUGGAGCCAGGCUUUGACCCAGAAAUCUUUGCUUCUGACCACUCAGCUAAGGGCCACUGUGUGGUAACAGUGAUGAAAGUGACCAGUGGUGGUAUGUUCAGUGUUAGUGGAAUUCUUUAUUGUUAUUUUCUUACAAGAUCAAGACUCUUGUAAGGGCCAGAAUCUGGCCUUGUUUAGCCUUAAGUUCUCCUUCACAUCUUGUGGCUUUCAUGAACCAAGGCAAUCUUUUGACUUUUGAAGGGACUCCCCAGCCCAAUGGCAGCGAUGUUGACACAGAAGAGCCUCACAGUCGCAGUGCUUUCCUUUUUACCUUUCCUUUCCCUCAUCUUCUACUUACGAUCGCCUUGGGCUUUUUUUUCUGGCUACCUCUCAUGGAAAGUGGUGGUGAAAACCUCAGUCAUUUACAUGGAUGUGGAAGAAUCAAGCCUUGCUAAUUCUUCUGUGUAGAUGUUUAGCUGUGUAUGUAUGUUUGCAUGUAGAUGAGAAGAAGGCACAUGUGGCCCUACUAACGUUCAUAUGUUGCAUUGGUCAGCAUAUCCUUUGCCUGGACAGAAUACUUUACAUGCACACCUUGAAGGAGGAAAGCUUUAUUUUGGCUCACAGUUUUAGAGGUUUCAGCGAUGGGUGACUGGCUCCAAGGCAGAAACAGCAGGACAGAAGGGUGUGGUAGAAGAAGGCUGCUCAGUUCACAGCAGCCAGGAAGUAGAGAGCAGGAAGACAGGAAGGCAAGGGCCGGGGUCAGCUAUAAUCCCAAGGUCACACCACCGUGACCCACCCAGAGAGAAUCAAAUCUAUCUCCUAGGUGUUUCUCAAGCCACUUAAGUCGGCAAUCAAGAUUUACUAUCACAUAUAUUUUUCAUACGGAUUUUAAUAUCCAAACACUUAAAAAUUUCUUCUAAACCACCCCAAUUUACUUGCAGAAAAAGAAAAUUAAUUGUUCUAUUGCUUAUAAGCAGAUAUUUGAAGAGAGGGCCUGUGAAAAUAUCCCAAAGUUAUGAUACCUUAAAGGAUAACACUUUAUUUAAUAGUAAAUAGAUUGCCAAGAAUAUAAUUUCUUUGGAAGUUGAAAGCAAAUUCAGUUCAAUCUACAAAAGUUCUUUCAAAUAUGAGCACUGCCUAGCAAUAAAAUGUGGUGCCUUGGGAGCAGAUGGGCCCCACAUCAUUAGAGGCAUUCAGAACAAGGCUCAUAUCUCUGUGAUGCAAUCGAGGAAAUUUCUGUAUAUCAUAGAAACUCCCAUUAUUUAAUAGCUGAUACUAACGGUUAGGAAAUUCUUACCUAAGCUUAUUUUAAUAGAAGUACUGGAAUUAAAAGAAAUAUUUUCCAAUAGUUUUCAUGGAAGACAUAUGGCAUUGGUGGACUCAGUAGAUAAGCACAGAGAAAACUCUAGAUCCCAGAGUGCAGAGAAACCAGCUUAGUGGUGCUUCUUUUCAAAUGAUACCAUCCCACUUGCCUAGGUUACAUUAGAAGGUCUCAGUGUCUUCCUUGUUCUUUGCCUUCAUGUCUUCUUAGGUCCAGCCCUAGGGUUCCUGUCGUCUUCAGAGGGGUGGGGAAGGGAUUUUAGAGCAUGGGAUUGUUUCGCUAACACUCCAGGCAGGACCUUGUGAAAAGAGUGGUAAUUCUGGAAAAGAUAAGGAAGAAAAACCUUAAGAAUGGGCAAGAAAUAGCCCUUAAGGCUUCUGCAUAUUGUGGAUUUUUUUUUCUUUUUUGCCUUUGCUGUAGUAUGAGAGUAUUUUAAGGAUUUCUAUUAAUCUCACCUUUAUUUGGGAAAUUAUCAGAAUCCAGAAGUGUUGCUUCAUAGGAGAUGGGCCCAGAACAGGGAGGGACUAUCUAGUAGGACCCAGCUUCUCCAGACCUACAGAGAAAACAGCUUCUGAGACAGACUGUGUACGAAGGAGUCUAGGAAAUGUGUUUCACUGUGAUCUCAGGAAGACGAGGAGCAAUGAAUGAGUGUAUCUAAAAUAUACAGGCAAAUGACUAGGACAAAGCGAAUCAGCAUAGACAUUUGGUGCAGAGAUAUAUGACCUUUUAGAUACCAGAGAUGAGACAGCUGGCCUGUUGUCAAUGUGCACCUUGCAGAGCACCUCCAGAAUGGUGCCUGAUUGCACUGAUUGCUCCUUUCCCCCUGUUUUUCAAAGGUGCCACGUAACCCAUUCACGACGGAUAUGUAGUCACUAAGUAGUUUAAGCCCAGGUGCCUGUAGCUAUGACAUGAUGUUUGAAAGACUGGGAUGCCAACUGAUGUGCUCAAGCUGAGUAAUGUUUUCUUCACCUCAGUGAUACAGGACCUGAAGACCCCACCAACUGGCAGGCAUAUUCCUUCCUGAAAGGCAUAGCCGCAUAAAUUCACCAGGCAGGGAUGACUCGAUGAAAACGAGCAAGCUCCGUGUGUAAGGAAGAAAGGAACAGGCGUCCUGAAGAGAGACAGAAGGAGACGGAGUCUCACAUUCCAGCCCGUGUGUGGAUACGACCAGUAACUUUUAGGAAGAGGAUGAGUCAGAGCUUGAGAUACAGUCUUUGAAGUCUUGAAACUUCAAGUGCCAACUUUGAGCCAUUGCUGACAGAAGGCCUGAGAGGUCUCUAUAAUCAGAAUAAAAACUCAUGAAAGAAAACAUCUCUUUCAAUUUUUGAUAGUUUACAAUGCAGAGGAUAAUCUGUGAAUGAUUUAGAAAAUAAUGGGAGAGAAAGAGGAUCAGCGUCCAGAUUCAGAACACUGACAUUUUCCUGAGUCACUGGCUGCCUGGCGGAAAGAGAGGGAGAUACUACAUAUUGACCAGAACUCCAGAAAUAUAAACAAGACACUGCCACAGAGGAUGUGGAAGGGCCUGGGGGAGUACAUCGAAGGAGCCCCUAACACAGGCUGGGUAAGUAUGAGCGGAGGGAAGAACGAAAAACAAAGACAAGAACAAAAACAACCACCGUGGGCCGGAAGAGAUGAGCUGAUGUUUUCAGGGGAAGUGUAAUUAGAGGGAAUAUCCCAGG